GGAGGAUGGGUGGUGGUGGUACGUAUCGGGCUUCAAGUCCGUUGGGUGGGUAGAUGUACAUGUGGUCUAUUCCAAU
This 76-nucleotide transfer RNA is filed under the name uncultured Isochrysis. Its description in RNAcentral is "Selenocysteine transfer RNA". Lineage: Eukaryota; Haptophyta; Isochrysidales. The record is from RNAcentral.